RNAcentral lists this ribosomal RNA (801 nucleotides) under uncultured bacterium. RNAcentral describes it as "bacterial SSU rRNA". It matches the Rfam family "Bacterial small subunit ribosomal RNA", at positions 68 to 917 of the family's 1533-position model. The record is from RNAcentral.
GAGACUCCUUCGGGAGUCUAGUGGCGGACGGGUGAGUAACACGUAGGAAUCUACCCUCGAGUGGAGAAUAACCGGCCGAAAGGUUGGCUAAUACUGCAUAGUCUCUACGGAGUAAAGGGCUUAACUGCCCGCUUGAGGAGGAGCCUGCGUCCUAUCAGCUUGUUGGUGAGGUAAUGGCUCACCAAGGCGAUGACGGGUAGCUGGACUGAGAGGUCGAUCAGCCACAAGGGCACUGAGACACGGGCCCUACAUCUACGGAUGGCAGCAACCGGGAAUCUUCCGCAAUGGACGAAAGUCUGACGGAGCGACGCCGCGUGGAGGAUGACAGCCUUCGGGUUGUAAACUCCUUUUAUUGUACCCUUCACAGUACAUUGAAUAAGCCUUUACUAACUACGUGCCAGAAGUCUCGGUAAUACGUAGGAGGCAAGCGUUAUCCGGAUUAACUGGGCGUAAAGCGUGCGUAGGCGGUUUUGUAAGUCGUCUUUUAAAUCCUGUGGCUCAACCACAGUUUUGGAGUCGAUACUGCAUUACUUGAGGAUCGUUCGGGGUAUCGGAACAGUUGGUGUAGCGGUGAAAUGCGUUGAUAUCAACUGGAACACCGAAGGCGAAGGCAGAUACCUGGGAUUUUCCUGACGCUGAGGUACGAAAGCUAGGGUAGCGAAAGGGAUUAGAGACCCCUGUAGUCCUAGCCGUAAACGAUGGAUGCUAGCUUCGGGUGUAUGCCUGAGGCGUAAGCUAACGCGUUAAGCAUCCCGCCUGGGGAGUACGGCCGCAAGGCUAAAACUCAAAGGAAUUGACGGG